RNAcentral lists this transfer RNA (68 nucleotides) under Marmota monax (woodchuck). RNAcentral describes it as "tRNA.Ala". The record is from RNAcentral. Lineage: Eukaryota; Metazoa; Chordata; Mammalia; Rodentia; Sciuridae.
GGAUUAUAGCUCAGUGGUAGAGCGCUUGCCUAGCAUGUGUGAGGCACUGGGUUCAAUACUCAGCACCA